RNAcentral lists this ribosomal RNA (325 nucleotides) under Merluccius paradoxus (deep-water Cape hake). RNAcentral describes it as "partial 12S ribosomal RNA". It matches the Rfam family "Bacterial small subunit ribosomal RNA", at positions 839 to 1337 of the family's 1533-position model. The record is from RNAcentral. Lineage: Eukaryota; Metazoa; Chordata; Actinopteri; Gadiformes; Merlucciidae.
UCGAGGGCCCGAUACCCAGACCCUCCGCCCGGGGACUACGAGCGCUAGCUUAAAACCCAAAGGACUUGGCGGUGCUUUACCCCCCACUAGAGGAGCCUGUUCUAGAACUGAUAACCCCCGUUGAACCUCACCAUCCCUCGUUUAACCCGCCUAUAUACCGCCGUCGUCAGCUUACCCUGUGAAGGCCAAAUAGUAAGCAAAAAUGGCUAAGCCAAAAACGUCAGGUCGAGGUGUAGUGAAUGGGAUGGGAAGAAAUGGGCUACAUUCUCUGUCACAGAGAAUACGAAUGGCAGCCUGAAAACCCUGCCUGAAGGUGGAUUUAGCA